This 268-nucleotide ribosomal RNA is filed under the name uncultured bacterium. RNAcentral's name for it is "partial 16S ribosomal RNA". It matches the Rfam family "Bacterial small subunit ribosomal RNA", at positions 793 to 1055 of the family's 1533-position model. The record is from RNAcentral.
GUCCACGCUGUAAACGAUGACGACUAGGUGUGGGGGGUUCGAGUCCCUCCGUGCCGCAGCUAACGCAUUAAGUCGUCCGCCUGGGGAGUACGGCCGCAAGGUUGAAACUCAAAGGAAUUGACGGGGGCCCGCACAAGCGGUGGAGCAUGUGGUUCAAUUCGAUGCAGAGCGAAGAACCUUACCUGGGCUUGACAUGCAGGAAGUAGAAACCGGAAACGGCGACGACCUGUUAAGUCAGGAACCUGCACAGGUGGUGCAUGGCUGUCGU